UGUCUCGAUCUGCUGUGGGCAAAUAUAAUGGAUAUGUGUAUCAAGACCACCAGCUGUUACAAUAAGACCUUCACCAGCAAGAGCUUCUGUUGAAGAACCAACCGUCAUGCCUUCUGUAACGCCAUCCAUUGUACCCGGGUUACCAGCUUUACCAAUACCAACGAUGAUACCAUCUUUGAUACCGAUAUCUGCUUUAUAGAUUCCUGUGUAGUCAAGGAUCAAAGCAUUAGUAAUAACCAAGUCAAGAUCUCCGUCUACGCUUCUAGUUACUACUGACUGUCCCAUACCAUCACG
RNAcentral lists this small RNA (294 nucleotides) under human gut metagenome. RNAcentral describes it as "5' ureB small RNA". It matches the Rfam family "5' ureB small RNA". The record is from RNAcentral.